Molecule: ribosomal RNA, 1463 nt
Filed under: uncultured Klebsiella sp.
Lineage: Bacteria; Pseudomonadati; Pseudomonadota; Gammaproteobacteria; Enterobacterales; Enterobacteriaceae
Description: bacterial SSU rRNA
Rfam family: Bacterial small subunit ribosomal RNA
Source: RNAcentral
AUUGAACGCUGGCGGCAGGCCUAACACAUGCAAGUCGAGCGGUAGCACAGAGAGCUUGCUCUCGGGUGACGAGCGGCGGACGGGUGAGUAAUGUCUGGGAAACUGCCUGAUGGAGGGGGAUAACUACUGGAAACGGUAGCUAAUACCGCAUAACGUCGCAAGACCAAAGUGGGGGACCUUCGGGCCUCAUGCCAUCAGAUGUGCCCAGAUGGGAUUAGCUAGUAGGUGGGGUAACGGCUCACCUAGGCGACGAUCCCUAGCUGGUCUGAGAGGAUGACCAGCCACACUGGAACUGAGACACGGUCCAGACUCCUACGGGAGGCAGCAGUGGGGAAUAUUGCACAAUGGGCGCAAGCCUGAUGCAGCCAUGCCGCGUGUGUGAAGAAGGCCUUCGGGUUGUAAAGCACUUUCAGCGGGGAGGAAGGCGUUAAGGUUAAUAACCUUGGCGAUUGACGUUACCCGCAGAAGAGGCACCGGCUAACUCCGUGCCAGCAGCCGCGGUAAUACGGAGGGUGCAAGCGUUAAUCGGAAUUACUGGGCGUAAAGCGCACGCAGGCGGUCUGUCAAGUCGGAUGUGAAAUCCCCGGGCUCAACCUGGGAACUGCAUUCGAAACUGGCAGGCUAGAGUCUUGUAGAGGGGGGUAGAAUUCCAGGUGUAGCGGUGAAAUGCGUAGAGAUCUGGAGGAAUACCGGUGGCGAAGGCGGCCCCCUGGACAAAGACUGACGCUCAGGUGCGAAAGCGUGGGGAGCAAACAGGAUUAGAUACCCUGGUAGUCCACGCCGUAAACGAUGUCGAUUUGGAGGUUGUGCCCUUGAGGCGUGGCUUCCGGAGCUAACGCGUUAAAUCGACCGCCUGGGGAGUACGGCCGCAAGGUUAAAACUCAAAUGAAUUGACGGGGGCCCGCACAAGCGGUGGAGCAUGUGGUUUAAUUCGAUGCAACGCGAAGAACCUUACCUGGUCUUGACAUCCACAGAACUUUCCAGAGAUGGAUUGGUGCCUUCGGGAACUGUGAGACAGGUGCUGCAUGGCUGUCGUCAGCUCGUGUUGUGAAAUGUUGGGUUAAGUCCCGCAACGAGCGCAACCCUUAUCCUUUGUUGCCAGCGGUUCGGCCGGGAACUCAAAGGAGACUGCCAGUGAUAAACUGGAGGAAGGUGGGGAUGACGUCAAGUCAUCAUGGCCCUUACGACCAGGGCUACACACGUGCUACAAUGGCAUAUACAAAGAGAAGCGACCUCGCGAGAGCAAGCGGACCUCAUAAAGUAUGUCGUAGUCCGGAUUGGAGUCUGCAACUCGACUCCAUGAAGUCGGAAUCGCUAGUAAUCGUAGAUCAGAAUGCUACGGUGAAUACGUUCCCGGGCCUUGUACACACCGCCCGUCACACCAUGGGAGUGGGUUGCAAAAGAAGUAGGUAGCUUAACCUUCGGGAGGGCGCUUACCACUUUGUGAUUCAUGACUGGGGUGA